This 740-nucleotide ribosomal RNA is filed under the name uncultured bacterium. Its description in RNAcentral is "bacterial SSU rRNA". It matches the Rfam family "Bacterial small subunit ribosomal RNA", at positions 8 to 796 of the family's 1533-position model. The record is from RNAcentral.
AGAGUUUGAUCCUGGCUCAGAGCGAACGCUGGCGGCAGGCCUAACACAUGCAAGUCGAGCGCCCCGCAAGGGGAGCGGCAGACGGGAGAGUAACACGUGGGAACGUGCCCUUCAGUUCGGAACAACCCAGGGAAACUUGGGCUGAUACCGGAUACGUCCGUAAGGAGAAAGAUUUAUCGCUGAAGGAUCGGCCCGCGUCUGAUUAGCUAGUUGGUGGGGUAAUGGCCCACCAAGGCGACGAUCAGUAGCUGGUCUGAGAGGAUGAUCAGCCUCACUGGGACUGAGACACGGCCCAGACUCCUACGGGAGGCAGCAGUGGGGAAUAUUGGACAAUGGGCGCAAGCCUGAUCCAGCCAUGCCGCGUGGGUGAUGAAGGCCCUAGGGUUGUAAAGCCCUCUCGGCGGGGAAGAUAAUGACGGUACCCGCAGAAGAAGCCCCGGCUAACUUCGUGCCAGCAGCCGCGGUAAUACGAAGGGGGCUAGCGUUGCUCGGAAUCACUGGGCGUAAAGCGCACGUAGGCGGCUUUUUAAGUCAGAGGUGAAAUCCUGGAGCUCAACUCCAGAACUGCCUUUGAUACUGAAGGGCUUGAGUCCGGGAGAGGUGAGUGGAACUGCGAGUGUAGAGGUGAAAUUCGUAGAUAUUCGCAAGAACACCAGUGGCGAAGGCGGCUCACUGGCCCGGUACUGACGCUGAGGUGCGAAAGCGUGGGGAGCAAACAGAAUUAGAUACCCCAGUAGUCC